GACGAACGCUGGCGGCGUGCUUAACACAUGCAAGUCGAACGGAAAGGCCCUGCUUUUGUGGGGUGCUCGAGUGGCGAACGGGUGAGUAACACGUGAGUAACCUGCCCUUGACUUUGGGAUAACUUCAGGAAACUGGGGCUAAUAUCGGACAGGAGCUCCCGCUCCAUGGUGGGGGUUGGAAAGUUUCGGCGGGUGGGGAUGGAUGCGCGGCUUAUCAGCUUGUUGGUUGGGUAGUGGCUUACCAAGGCGUUGACGGGUAGCCGGCAUGGGAGGGUGACCGGCCACAUUGCGCCUACGAUACGGCCCAGACUCCUACGGGGGGCAGCGGUGGCAAGUAUUGCACAAUGGGCGGAAGCCUGAUGCAGCAGCGCCGCGUGCGGGAUGACGGCCUUCGGGUUGUAAACCGCUUUCGCCUGUGACGAAGCGUGAGUGACGGUAAUGGGUAAAGAAGCACCGGCUAACUACGUG
RNAcentral lists this ribosomal RNA (468 nucleotides) under uncultured bacterium. Its description in RNAcentral is "partial 16S ribosomal RNA". It matches the Rfam family "Bacterial small subunit ribosomal RNA", at positions 28 to 507 of the family's 1533-position model. The record is from RNAcentral.